Molecule: non-coding RNA, 249 nt
Organism: Pelobates cultripes (western spadefoot toad)
Lineage: Eukaryota; Metazoa; Chordata; Amphibia; Anura; Pelobatidae
Source: the annotation of a GenBank genome assembly
CAACUCUGUUCUGCAGAGUAGCUGUUGACAUUAUAGUUGCGCAGGCACUUUGUUGACUCUAGAGAACCUCGGGCCAAUCGGAUGUCAUCCAUAUCAACUUUCGAUGCCAGUUUCUGCGCCUACCAUGGUGACCACGGGUAAUGGGGAAUUAGGGUUCCAUUCCGUACAGGGACCCUUAGAAACGGCUACCACAUGCAAGGAAGGCAGCAGGCGCGCAAAUGACCCACUCCCGACGCGGGAAGGUAGUGA